CUACCGGGGUAUCUAAUCCUGUUCGCUACCCACGCUUUCGUUCCUCAGCGUCAGUUACUGCCCAGAGACCCGCCUUCGCCACCGGUGUUCCUCCUGAUAUCUGCGCAUUUCACCGCUACACCAGGAAUUCCAGUCUCCCCUGCAGUACUCAAGUCUGCCCGUAUCGCCUGCAAGCCCGCAGUUGAGCUGCGGGAUUUCACACACGACGCGACAAACCGCCUACGAACUCUUUACGCCCAGUAAUUCCGGACAACGCUCGCACCCUACGUAUUACCGCGGCUGCUGGCAC
This 289-nucleotide ribosomal RNA is filed under the name uncultured Rhodococcus sp. RNAcentral's name for it is "partial 16S ribosomal RNA". Lineage: Bacteria; Bacillati; Actinomycetota; Actinomycetes; Mycobacteriales; Nocardiaceae. The record is from RNAcentral.